GCUUACAUUGGGACAGGCCUAACAACAGUAGCCCAACACGGCCUGCCACUAACUCCGCGCACGGACGGCGAGGCCGACGCCGCCGGUACUGUCUCUGCCGGAGUGCUGGAUAUCCGCCCGCUGCUCCUCAGUCGACCCUCCGCUCCCGCCCAUGCCUCGACCCAAGCCCGCCGCUGCCGGUGGCGGCUGGCUUUCAGGGUGGGGGUGGGACCUCAUGCUCGGAUCGAUUGCCGCGUUCUACGCCGUCAUGGCGCCCUACACCAAGGUGGAGGAGAGCUUCAACGUGCAGGCCAUACAUGAUAUUCUUUAUCACACUUAUCACAUCGAGAAGUAUGAUCAUUUGGAAUUUCCUGGAGUUGUUCCUCGAACGUUUAUAGGAGCAUUUGUUAUCUCUAUUCUCUCAUCACCCACAGUCUUUGUAUUGCGUUUACUUCGUGUUCCAAAGUUCUAUAGUCUUCUUACAGUUCGAUUAACAUUGAGUUGUGUCACUUUGAUGAGUUUGAGACUUCUCAGAGUUCAGGUAAAAAAGAAGUUUGGCCAUCAAGCAGAAGCAUUCUUUGUGGUACUAACUGCUAUCCAGUUUCACUUGCUGUUCUACUCAAGCCGUCCGCUUCCAAAUAUCUUUGCUUUAGCUUUAGUCAACUUGGCAUACUCUUUCUGGUUCAAGGGAAGCUACCUAUGUACAUUACGGGCUCUGAUUGUUGCAGCAGUUGUUUUUAGAUGUGAUAUGAUUCUGCUUCUUGGCCCAAUAGGGCUUGCACUUUUGCUCAGCAGAUCUGUUUCUCUCUUGGAAGCAAUAAAAUGUUGCAUAAGCACUACCCUUGUAUGCAUAGGAUUUACCGUGCUAAUCGACUCUAUAAUGUGGCGUCGAAUCCUGUGGCCAGAAUUUCAAGUUCUCUGGUUUAAUUCAGUUCUGAAUCGGAGUUCAGAAUGGGGUACCCAUUCAAUUCAUUGGUACUUUACAUCGGCGCUUCCCCGUUCCAUGAUAGUGGCAUACCCUCUCUGCAUGGUUGGUGCUCUUCUUGAUAGAAGGAUAGUACCAUACAUGUUUCCGGUCUUCUUAUUUGUUGUGCUCUAUUCAAAACUUCCACAUAAGGAACUCCGUUUCAUAAUUGGCUCAAUUCCCAUGUUUAAUGUGUCUGCUUCACUAACAGCUAGCAGACUAUAUAAUAACCGAAAGAAAGCUGGGUGGAAUUUGCUUUUUAUUCUCAUGCUUGGUGCCUUUCUUGUCAGUCUAGGAUAUUCUACUGUGACUUUCAUGGCAUCCUACAACAAUUAUCCUGGUGGCUAUGCUUUAAAGGCUCUACAUGAAGCAGAUUCUUCAGUGAAGGAAAAGAUGGUACAUAUUGAUGCCUUCACUGCAAUGAGCGGGGUUUCUCGUUUCUGUGAAAAUGAAUAUCCUUGGAGGUAUGUUUCUAACCGACAAAACUAGUUGAUAUGUAUGCUACUAUGCUAUUUUAUUUUUUCUGUUGAUUGCUCAAAUCUUCUUUCAUUAUUGUUAAUUAAUAUCACCAGUCCAUUAGUUUUUUCUUUCUGGAUUAUUGAUUUUGGACUAUCAGGUAAAACUUAGGUCAUAUUAGUUUUACAAAUACUCUUAGUUAUAGGAUGCAAUUAUUGUAAUACUGAACCAGACACCCCUUUCUUUGCAAACUACACUUUCACUAUAUUUGACAAAUUAUACCUAGUCUCAUACACGACAUGCCUGUCUUAUCCGCUUCCCAACUUUUGUUGUGGCAUACUAAUUUCAUAUUUGGAAGCAAUGGAAUUCAGAAAUGGAAAUCAGUUUCUGUGCCCACCAGGACGGCACACCCUCUGGAUAUCCUAGACAUCCAAAACGGUACAAGUUGAGAAACGGAGCUGUGAUUGUCCAAAACCCCACCCUUAGGCUGUCUCCAGCAGCUAUCCUAUUGAUACGCCUGGGCCUUCUAGGAGUGCUUAAGGGCGAAUAGAGGAGCAGCGCAGCCUGGGACAGGGACCUGAGUGCGUAUGGUGGAGAAGAGUGGGAGGAAGAAGCAGGAGCAAGAUCACCGUCGGCCAGGGUGACCGAGAUACUCCAAGGAGGAAGAAAUUCCCAUCGAAGAAUUUGAGAAAAGGAAUUUCACCUAUCUACUGAAUGAGCACCGCUCCAUCGGUGGCUACCAGUGCCUGUUCGCUGUGGAUGGAUUCUCCAGAGUAAAACUUACGCCCCAAAUCCCCCCGCUCUCUCUGGUGAAAGAACCCAAGGUGUUUGCACAUGGGAAUACGAGAGACCCUGACAUUCUUUCACUGAGUUGGCCCGGUUGUCCUUGAGGGCAUGGGGACACCGGACACCCAGAUUCCUGUGGCAGGACCACUAACUGCCAGCAGUGAAGAUGUGUUUGAGUCAGUCCGCGUGACACAUAUAUGGUAUACAUCUCUGGGUCUUGCCAUGAAGCUACCUUACCUGCAAAUCUAGAAUGGGGCCCCUCCUCCCCUAGAUCCCACGGCUUCGAAACCACAGCUUUAAGGAACACUGCCAUUUUCAGGUGCAAAUUUGUGUAACAUUUUAGAGCCGGAAGAAAGACAGAAAGCACACGGGGGGUGGGGGGAAUCAUAGCAAUUAGCAACCUUGUAUUUACAAGUUGGUCGAUAUAUUUUUUUCCCUUUUGAGGCAACUUUCAUACUCCAUCUUAUAUAACAAGAGCUUCUAGACUUUAUUUAUC
This is an RNA transcript of Zea mays, 2681 nucleotides long. It is a transcript of the gene named dolichyl-P-Man Man, with no coding region annotated. NCBI's taxonomy places the organism in Eukaryota, Viridiplantae, Streptophyta, Magnoliopsida, Poales, Poaceae. The record is from RefSeq and is marked validated. The transcript is spliced from 19 exons.